RNAcentral lists this ribosomal RNA (1911 nucleotides) under Bacteroidota bacterium. RNAcentral describes it as "Bacteroidetes bacterium (freshwater metagenome) partial 23S ribosomal RNA". It matches the Rfam family "Bacterial large subunit ribosomal RNA", at positions 1 to 1932 of the family's 2925-position model. Lineage: Bacteria; Pseudomonadati; Bacteroidota. The record is from RNAcentral.
UUUUUAAAGCAACAAAGGGCACAUGGCGGAUGCCUUGGCUUUGAGAGGCGAUGAAGGACGUGGUAAGCUGCGAUAAGCUACGGGGAGCUGCACACAAGCGUUAUAUCCGUAGAUUUCCGAAUGGGACAACCCACUGUGCUGAAGGCACAGUACUCGAAAGAGAGCCAACCCUGGGAACUGAAACAUCUAAGUACCAGGAGGAAAAGAAAACAAUCGUGAUUCCCCAAGUAGUGGCGAGCGAAAAGGGAACAGCCUAAAUCGAAGCAGCGUGCUGUUUCGAGGUUGUAGGACUGCAUUUAGAAAGCAAUAUCAAGCUGAAUCUUCUGGAAAGUUGAACCAUAGCAGGUGAUAGUCCUGUAAGCACAAAUUAUUGCGGACGAGCAGUAUCCUGAGUAAGGCGGGACCGGAGAAAUCCUGCCUGAAUCUGCCGGCACCAUCCGGUAAGGCUAAAUACUCCUCAAAGACCGAUAGUGAACCAGUACCGUAAGGGAAAGGUGAAAAGCACCCCAAACAGGGGAGUGAAAUAGUACCUGAAACCGUGUGCCUACAAGCGGUCGGAGUCCCGAUUUAUCGGGAUGACGGCGUGCCUUUUGCAUAAUGAACCUACGAGUUACUCCUCACUGGCAAGGUUAAGUUUUAAAUAACGGAGCCGUAGCGAAAGCGAGUCCAAAUAGGGCGACUAGUCAGUGGGGGUAGACGCGAAACUUUGUGAUCUAUCCAUGGGCAGGUUGAAGUUCUGGUAACACAGAAUGAAGGACCGAACUCAUUAACGUUGAAAAGUUAUGGGAUGACCUGUGGAUAGGGGUGAAAGGCCAAUCAAACUGAGAGAUAGCUCGUUCUCCCCGAAAUGUUUUUAGGAACAGCCUCGGAUAUAGAAGUUUACUAGAGGUAGAGCUACUGAUUGGGCUAGGGGGCUUCACCGCCUACCAAACCCUGACAAACUCCGAAUGCUAGUAAAUAUCUCCGGGAGUGAGGCUGCGGGUGCUAAGAUCCGUGGCCGAGAGGGAAAUAACCCAGAAUAGCAACUAAGGUCCCUAAUACGUAGUUAAGUUGAUCAAACGAGGUGGGGCUUCUAUAACAGCCAGGAUGUUGGCUUGGAAGCAGCCAUUCAUUUAAAGAGUGCGUAACAGCUCACUGGUCGAGAGGCCCUGCACGGAAAAUGAUCGGGCAUCAAACUACGAACCGAAGUUCUAUGAUCUGCCUUUGGCAGAUCGGUAGGGGAGCAUUCUGAUCCGCUGUGAAGGUGUGUGGCGACGCAUGCUGGAGCGUUCAGAAAAGAAAAUGUAGGUAUAAGUAACGAUAAAUAAGGUGAAAAACCUUAUCGCCGAAAGUCUAAGGGUUCCUGAUCAACGUUAAUCGGAUCAGGGUUAGUCGGGUCCUUAGGUAAACCCGAAAGGGGUAACUGAUGGAAAGCUGGUUAAUAUUCCAGCACCCACUGUAGUUUCGAUGGGGUGACGCAUUAUUGAAAGUCUCACGGGGAUCACGGAAUAUCCCGUUUAAGCAUGUAGCUAUACGUUUUACAGGUAAAUCCGUAAGAUGUGGCAAAGUGCGAAAGUACACUGCGGCUUCGGCCAAUGGGAGAGACCUAAAAGAUGCCGAGAAAAACCUCUAAGGUUAGGCUACAGCGGCCCGUACCGCAAACCGACACAGGUAGACGAGAUGAAUAUUCUAAGGCGCUCGGGUGAGCCGUGGAGAAGGAACUAGGCAAAUUGACGCUGUAACUUCGGGAUAAAGCGUACCACCUUAUGGGUGGUCUCAGUAAAAUGGUCCAACCAACUGUUUAGCAAAAACACAGGGCCCUGCAAAAUCGAAAGAUGACGUAUAGAGCCUGAUACCUGCCCGGUGCUGGAAGGUUAAGGAAGGGUGUUCGACGCAAGUCAAAGCUCCUGACUGAAGCCCCAGUAAACGGCG